CCUACGGGAGGCAGCAGUGGGGAAUUUUGGACAAUGGGCGCAAGCCUGAUCCAGCCAUUCCGCGUGAGUGAAGAAGGCCUUCGGGUUGUAAAGCUCUUUCGCAAGGGAAGAAAACUUAGUCUCUAACAUAGACUGAGGUUGACGGUACCUUGAUAAGAAGCACCGGCUAACUACGUGCCAGCAGCCGCGGUAAUACGUAGGGUGCGAGCGUUAAUCGGAAUUACUGGGCGUAAAGCGUGCGCAGGCUGUUUUGUAAGUCAGAUGUGAAAUCCCUGAGCUCAACUUAGGAACUGCGUUUGAAACUACAAGACUAGAAUAUGUCAGAGGGGGGUAGAAUUCCACGUGUAGCAGUGAAAUGCGUAGAGAUGUGGAGGAAUACCAAUGGCGAAGGCAGCCCCCUGGGAUAAUAUUGACGCUCAUGCACGAAAGCGUUGGGGAGCAAACAGGAUUAGAUACCCUGGUAGUCCACGCCCUAAACGAUGUCUACUAGUUGUUGGUGGAGUAAAACUCCAUANAGUAGACGAGACACGACGNGAGAGACGACCGCGGAGGACGGUACGCGAGAGUAAACGUAACGUAACGAAGUAGUAGACGNGAGAGAGCGACGACGACGACGAGGAGGAGG
Molecule: ribosomal RNA, 625 nt
Filed under: uncultured bacterium
Lineage: Bacteria
Description: bacterial SSU rRNA
Rfam family: Bacterial small subunit ribosomal RNA (bases 1-548)
Source: RNAcentral